GUCGUAACACAGGUGCUGCAUGGCUGUCGUCAGCUCGUGUCGUGAGAUGUUCGGUUAAGUCCGCUAACGAGCGCAACCCUCGCUGUGUGUUACAAGUGUCACACGGUACUGCCGGUCUUAAGCCGGAGGAAGGUGGGGAUGACGUCAAGUCAGCAUGGCCUUUAUGUCCUGGGCUACACACACGCUACAAUGGCCAACACAAUAGGUUGCUAAGCCGCGAGGUGGAGCCAAUCCUCAAAGUUGGUCUCAGUUCAGAUUGCAGGCUGCAACCCGCCUGCAUGAAGAUGGAGUUGCUAGUAACCGCAGGUCAGCUAUACUGCGGUGAAUACGUUCCCGGGGCUU
This 342-nucleotide ribosomal RNA is filed under the name uncultured Leptolinea sp. Its description in RNAcentral is "bacterial SSU rRNA". It matches the Rfam family "Bacterial small subunit ribosomal RNA", at positions 1026 to 1382 of the family's 1533-position model. The record is from RNAcentral. Lineage: Bacteria; Bacillati; Chloroflexota; Anaerolineae; Anaerolineales; Anaerolineaceae.